UGGCAAGUCGACCAAAGGCGAAAGCAGUCAUCAAGGGCACACCCGUUGAUCAAGAGCGAAAGUUAAGGGUUCGAAGACGAUCAGAUACCGUCGUAGUCUUAACUAUAAAUGAUACUGACCAGGGAUAGGACUCUGUCCAUUCCGACUUCUCCUGGACCUUAGAGAAAUCAGAGUCUUUGAGUUCUGGGGGGAGUAUGGUCGCAAGGCUGAAACUUAAAGGAAUUGACGGAAGGGCACACAAAGAGUGGAACCUGCGGCUUAUCAGAUUAGGCCAAAAGCAGCACCCCAUGGGGUGUUGCUAGUCGGGGGGGGCUAGCUCCUCUCGGCAACAUCAUCAAAUUGCGGGCAAGCCCUAAAGCCAGUGCUACUAAACGUGCGCCGUAAGGCGGAUAAAACAGGAGCUUUGACCCCCUAACCGGGCGAGCUGCUUGCACGUGGCCGAGCUAAUCACUCGGGUAUAGUAACAACGCACUUGGAUACUGGUGAUCUAGGCUUAACCCCUUCGAUGGGGCCUAUUUCCUAUACCAUAUCAUGGGUCAUUCGCAGCCAAAUCCAUUACGUACCAGGGGAGAUCUAACGAUCUUCAAGACUCACCCAUACUAGCACCCUUGAUCAAAAUGACGAUCAUAUAAGCUGGUUUGCAUGGUAGUCUAUACCCUGUACGGGACACAGUUCACAGACUAGACGGUGGUGGGCAGGGGUCCCUCUCUUCACAGGGUGGGGUUCCUGCUUAAGAUAUAGUCGGGCUCACCUGAAAGGGUGCCUGGGGAAGAAGCUAGUUGAACACUGGCCUGAGCCCUGGGAGGUGAUUCUUGGUGACUGGGGGUGAGGGGGUGCCUUCGGGGACCCCUCCCCACGACUUCUGGGGAUUGCUGAGAACACACGUAAUUUGACUCAACACGGGAAAACUCACCAGGUCCAGAUACACGUAUGAAAGACAAGCUGAAAGACUUUUCUCAAUGAUGUAAGUGGUGGUGCAUGGUCGUUCUUAGUUCGUGGAGUGAUUUGUCUGGUCUAUUCCGAUAACGAGCGAGACCCCGGCGUUCCUAAUAGGGGCAGCAGCCCGGCUCGUACCGCAAGGUGCUUGCUAGCAGCUGCCUCAACAUGCUUCUUAGACGUAUCAGAGCCGAUAAGGUUCUUGAAAUGGGUUAAUAACAGGUCAGUCAUGCCCUUAGAUGUUCUGGGCCGCACGCGCGUUACAAUGGCAUACAUUAGAACGUGCUCACAAGGGCAUAUCCGCGGCCGGCAGGUCGUGGUAACCCUUAGUCUCUUCCUUGACUGGGACAGACUAUUGCAAUUAUUGGUCUCAAACGAGGAAUUUUUAGUAGUCGCAGGUCAUUAACCUGCGACG
This 1351-nucleotide ribosomal RNA is filed under the name Didymium xerophilum. RNAcentral describes it as "partial small subunit ribosomal RNA". It matches the Rfam family "Eukaryotic small subunit ribosomal RNA", at positions 928 to 1643 of the family's 1831-position model. The record is from RNAcentral. Lineage: Eukaryota; Evosea; Eumycetozoa; Physariida; Didymiaceae.